Molecule: long non-coding RNA, 2986 nt
Organism: Pongo pygmaeus (Bornean orangutan)
Lineage: Eukaryota; Metazoa; Chordata; Mammalia; Primates; Hominidae
Exons: 3
Source: RefSeq, a predicted model, not a curated record
AGACUCAGGAACCGAGCUAGGUUCACCCAGUGGAUCCCGCACCAGGGCUGUAGGUGGAGCUGCCUGCCAGUCCCGGGCCGUGCACCCGCACUCCUCAGCCCUUGGGUGGUCGAUGGGACUACGCGCGGUGGAGCAGGAGGCGGCGCUUGUCCAGGAGGCUCGGGCUGCACAGGAGCCCACGGAGGCGGAUAGGGAAGCUCAGGCAUGGCGGGCUGCAGGUCCUAGGCCCUGACCGGCGGGAAGGCAGCUAAGACCCGGCGAAAAGUCCAGCGCAGCGCCGGUGGGCUGGCACUGCUGGGGAACCCAGUACACCCUCCGCAGCCGCUGGUCCGGGUGCUAAGCCCCUCAUUGCCCGGGGGCGGCAGGGCCGGCCGGCUGCUCCGAGUGCGGGGCCCGCCAAGCCCACACCCACCCGGAACUCCAGCUGGCCCGCAAGCGCAGCGCGCAGCCCCGAUUCCCGCUCGCGCCCCUCCCUCCACACCUCCCUGCAAGCUGAGGGAGCGGGCUCCGGCCUUGGCCAGCCCAGAGUGCCGCGGUGGGCUGAAGGCCUCCUCAAGUGCCGCCAAAGUGGGAGCCCAGGCAGAGGAGGUGCCAAGAGCGAGUGAGGGCUGUGAGGACUGCCAGCAUGCUGUCAUCUCUCACUAUAAUUUGUUUUCACCCCAUGCCGACCCACCUAAGCCCUCACUUUAUCUUUUUGGGUGCCCUCAGAAAAUGUCCCAAUUGUCUUUCCAAAUGGAUAAAUCCUGAGUGUGCCAGUGAUUCUGCUGGGCCCUACCAAGUCAGAAAUACCAGACGCCAUCUUUGUUUUCAAGGUGCAAGAAUUUUAAGAAAGGAGAAAGACAAACAGAGAGUUGACAAACAUAAUACAGGAUUAAUGAUGCAGAAGAAAGCCAGCUGACACUUUGAGGACCUGGAACUAAAUCAGACAAAUACCAAAAAAAGAUCAAGGAUUGCUCUGUUUGUUUUGUUUUGUACCCAAAGUAAAAUAUAAAAUUUAUAAGAAUAGUUAUGCAGUUCAGUUGUGCCAUUGACUGCAUAUAAAUCAGUACCACUUCAUUCUACUUUCAUACAUUGUAAUUUUUGUUGCAGUAAAAUGUUACUGGGAAAAAGAGUAGAGAUACAUUUUUGGACAAAAAUAUAUACCAGAGUUUUUAAGGCCUAUUAGAUCCUUGUAGUUUUUAUCACUUAAAUUUUAAGAAGAUAGUCUAAUAACUAGAAACCUGUUUUAUUUUUUUAAAGAUGUUUCUGGAAUGAAGGUCAUUGAGACCAAAUGACCAAAAGGGGCAUUCCUUAUUGACAGAUACCACAAUUUAUAUUAGAUACUUAAUAGCUGUAAACUUUAGAUGAUGAACAUUUGCACAGUAUUGACAAAGAGAGAUUAAAAAGAAUUAACCAUAGCAUGAAGCAUCAUCACUAGCUUAUGAUUAAUAAAAAUUCAAGUAUUUUAGUUAAAUAAACUUGAAAUAAUAGAUAUGUGUGAAUUGGGUACUCUACAAGAAAAACCUGCAUGUUUUCUUAAGUGAUACCAGAUUUUAUAAACAAUAAUAAAUUUGGCCAAAGUUGCCAAAUCUGAAAAUUUACAGUCCACAUUUUUGAUGACAUAGUAAAACUGGAAAUCACAUAUAAAAAUUUAGGGAAUAACAAUACUUUGAAGUUGAACCAUCAAUUUCACAUCGUAAACAACUAUUUGCUUAAAGAGGAAAUACAAAUAUAUUUAGAUAUUUUAAAGAUUCGAUAUUUGAAAAUUUUAUAUUUUCUAUUUAAACUAGAAAAACGAGACAUGCUACCUUAUUCAUUCAUACAUAAUCUAAACAAACUUUUAACCCAAUUCUCACUAUGAGCCAUGCACUAUUUUAGCACUAGGGGUAAAGUAAACAAACAGACAAAGCCUUUGCCCUCAGAGAACUUCUAUAUUCCCAGGGUGAAAUAGACAAAAAAAGACAGGUGAAUAAUAGGUUGAAGUAUAUGAUAUUGCCAUUUUGUGGAUCAAAGUGAUAGAACAUGAAGAAUUUCGUAGAUCAUUCAACCAAAUUUACAGACUUUCAGAUAGAUAGAUGAGUAAACAUAAAUUAAAUCUAAGUUUAUAGGUGUUGAAAACUGAAGUCUUAUUAAGGUAUGAUGAGAACGUGAGAAUUUCUCUUGCUUGUCAUUAAGAUUUUGCUAAGUAACAUGUACAGAAAAAACAUUUGUCUCACACGGCUGCUAAUAGUACUGAAAUCAACAAUUUGCAACAUAUUAAUCCAUUUUUCUACAUAUUCACAUAACGACAUAUAAAUACAUGUUUGUGGAGGAACUUUGUUCUUUCUCUCCUACCUUUUUCUUUUUCUAACAAAGUGAAUAUACUAAAGACAUUGUUCUUAGUAUUACUUUUUCAAUUAAAAUCUGUAAAGGGUUACUUCUUGCUUUGAUGCAUAUAGAUUUAAUAAAUUCUUUAAAUAGAUGCUUAAUAUUCCAUAAUACAGAUGCAAUAUACUUAUUAAUAAGUCUUUCCUAUUAUCAUUUAUUUUUGUGAAAAUAAUUCCUCAAAAUGGGAUUUUUGGAUGAAGAAGUAAUUUUAUUAGACAGUGCAAGGUUUAUUUUCCAUAACCAUUUCCAGCAAUUCACCCUUCAUUAGCAAUACAUUUAAGAGCCUAUUUAUCCACAUAAUAAUGAGCACUGGAUUUGAAUUUGAUGGAUUCAAAGUUAUACCAUUUCAAUUUCAAUAAAAAACCUCGAAUUUUUUUCAAUAUGUUACUGUAUAUUUUGACUUUCUUCUAUGAAUAUCUUGUUAUUCUUUGCCUAUUUUUUGUUUUAUAUAUUUAAAAUUUUAAUCUAAUUAUAACUUGCACAUAAUUUAGACACCCAAAUGGUAUGUUGUAAAAAAUAGUAGUUGCCUAUCUGCCCUUCUCUUUUAUUUUCUACUUCCAAGGAUAAAUUACUUGUAACUCUCUUUGUUGAUUUUUUCAAUACCCACUUCUAUCUCUAUGAAUAAAAUUCUUAUAUUGUC